CAGAAUUAGUUUUGCACGCAAAGAAGCAGCUACAAACAACGCUACGGUGCAGGUCUUUCGGUUAUUUCUUGUCACGCUUCAGCCUUGGAAAUAUUUGUUUUUUCACAACAUAAACGUUUUCAAUAUAUUCAUUCAAG
This is a long non-coding RNA of Oncorhynchus kisutch (coho salmon), 137 nucleotides long. RefSeq lists it as uncharacterized. The transcript is spliced from 2 exons. The record is from RefSeq and is a predicted model, not a curated record. NCBI's taxonomy places the organism in Eukaryota, Metazoa, Chordata, Actinopteri, Salmoniformes, Salmonidae.